AGAGUUUGAUCCUGGCUCAGAACGAACGCUGGCGGCGCGCCUAACACAUGCAAGUCGAACGGGGUGCAUGGAGCUGAUCACUUCGGUGUGAAGCAUCAUGUUACCUAGUGGCGAACGGGUGAGUAACACGUAGGUAACCUGCCCUUAGGAUUGGGAUACUCCCGGGAAACCGGGUUCAAUACCGAAUAUGAUUCCAGGGUGAAAUGCCCAGGGAUAAAAGCUGCUGGCAACAGUGGCGCCUAUGGAGGGACCUGCGGCCUAUCAGCUUGUUGGUGAGGUAACGGCUCACCAAGGCUAAGACGGGUAGCCGGACUGAGAGGUUGAUCGGUCACACUGGAACUGAGACACGGUCCAGACUCCUACGGGAGGCAGCAGUGGGGAAUUUUGCGCAAUGGGCGAAAGCCUGACGCAGCGACGCCGCGUGGGGGAAGAAGGCCUUCGGGUUGUAAACUCCUUUAGUACGGGAAGAAGCCGCAAGGUGACGGUACCGUAAGAAUAAGCCACGCUAACU
RNAcentral lists this ribosomal RNA (511 nucleotides) under uncultured bacterium. Its description in RNAcentral is "bacterial SSU rRNA". It matches the Rfam family "Bacterial small subunit ribosomal RNA", at positions 8 to 502 of the family's 1533-position model. The record is from RNAcentral.